RNAcentral lists this long non-coding RNA (285 nucleotides) under Nicotiana benthamiana. Its description in RNAcentral is "long non-coding RNA (NBEN_LNC028232)". Lineage: Eukaryota; Viridiplantae; Streptophyta; Magnoliopsida; Solanales; Solanaceae. The record is from RNAcentral.
UGACAUCUUAUCUAAUUGUCCAAAUGUCUAUUACUCAGAAAUUAGUAUAAUUAUAUGUAUACCUUCCAACCUUCUUCGUAUAUUCUCUUGUCUGUCCUUGUCCUAUCAGGAAAACGGCCUACGAAGGAUAUGUGGUUUUGUGUUAACAUAAUUAAGAAAAAUCAUAUUUAGCAAGUUUCUUGAUCUUCUAUUGGAGCCACUUCUGAAUUAGGUUUAAUUGUUUUUAACCUCAUUAAUCCGUCACUAAAUGAGCUUUUUACCAUGACCAUUCUCAUAAACAUCCAC